GCUUGAGCACGUAGGUGGGUUUGUAAGUCAGAUGUGAAAGCCUUCUGUUCAACGGAAGAAUUGCAUCUGAAACUACAAGUCUUGAGUGUAGGAGGGGAGAAUGGAACUUCUGGUGGAGCGGUGAAAUGCGUAGAUAUCAGAAGGAACGCCGGCGGCGAAAGCGAUUCCCUGGCCUAUUACUGACACUCAGUGUGCGAAAGCUAGGGGAGCAAACGGGAUUAGAUACCCCGGUAGUCCUAGCCGUAAACGAUGGGCACUAAGUAGAGGGGAUUACCGAUGUUCUCUCUGCCGUAGCUAACGCAUUAAGUGCCCCGCCUGGGGAGUACGGCCGCAAGGCUAAAACUCAAAAGAAUUGACGGGGGCUCGCACAAGCGGUGGAGCAUGUGGCUUAAUUCGAUGCAACGCGAAGAACCUUACCGGGGCUUGACAUGGUAGAAGUAGGAACCCGAAAGGGUAACGAACGGUAUCCAGUCCGUGACUAUCACAGGUGUUGCAUGGCUGUCGUCAGCUCGUGUCGUGAGACGUUGGGUUAAGUCCCCUAACGAGCGAAACCCUUGUUUUUAGUUACCAGCGGGUUAUGCCGGGUACUCUAGAAAGACUGCCGUCGUCAAGACGGAGGAAGGUGGGGAUGACGUCAAGUCAUCAUGGCCCUUAUGCCCCGGGCUGCACACGUGCUACAAUGGUCGGUACAAACGGAAGCGAAGCCGAGAGGUGAAGCGAAUCCAAGC
RNAcentral lists this ribosomal RNA (728 nucleotides) under uncultured Planctomycetota bacterium. Its description in RNAcentral is "bacterial SSU rRNA". It matches the Rfam family "Bacterial small subunit ribosomal RNA", at positions 558 to 1278 of the family's 1533-position model. Lineage: Bacteria; Pseudomonadati; Planctomycetota. The record is from RNAcentral.